GAUGAACGCUGACAGAAUGCUUAACACAUGCAAGUCUACUUGAAUUUGGGUUUUUUAACUUAGAUUUGGGUGGCGGACGGGUGAGUAACGCGUAAAGAACUUGCCUCACAGCUAGGGACAACAUUUGGAAACGAAUGCUAAUACCUGAUAUUAUGAUUAUAAGGCAUCUUAGAAUUAUGAAAGCUAUAUGCGCUGUGAGAGAGCUUUGCGUCCCAUUAGCUAGUUGGAGAGGUAACGGCUCACCAAGGCGAUGAUGGGUAGCCGGCCUGAGAGGGUGAACGGCCACAAGGGGACUGAGACACGGCCCUUACUCCUACGGGAGGCAGCAGUGGGGAAUAUUGGACAAGGGACCAAGAGUCUGAUCCAGCAAUUCUGUGUGCACGAUGACGUUUUUCGGAAUGUAAAGUGCUUUCAGUUGGGAAGAAAAAAAUGACGGCACCAACAGAAGAAGUGACGGCUAAAUACGUG
This 468-nucleotide ribosomal RNA is filed under the name uncultured bacterium. RNAcentral's name for it is "partial 16S ribosomal RNA". It matches the Rfam family "Bacterial small subunit ribosomal RNA", at positions 28 to 507 of the family's 1533-position model. The record is from RNAcentral.